Molecule: long non-coding RNA, 2396 nt
Organism: Struthio camelus australis
Lineage: Eukaryota; Metazoa; Chordata; Aves; Struthioniformes; Struthionidae
Source: Ensembl
AUGCUCCUGCAGAAGACGCUGCCCUGCGUUUGCACGGGCCUUGCUCUGGCGCGGCUGCCGGCGGGGAGGUUCUGCGGUGCCCGCGUCGCCUCGUCACCCUGGGGAAAUGAAAGACGUGAAGAAGUCGCAGUGGGCGCAACCUUAAAUCAGCAGCGAGCGUGGGAAGAGGAGCAUUGCUGUGCAGCCUCGGACGCAGGCGGUCCCCGCUGCCGCACACCCGCCCGGCGCGAGGGAGCUUCGCCAUGGAUGCUGGGCGGCCGGAGUAGAGGAGUCAGAAGCCUGGUGAGUCCGGAUGGGAGCGUGGAGUCAGCGGGAGCAGUGCCGGUGGAGCCCGCGCCUCGGUGCCUAGAAGACAUGCUAAGAUGCAGAUGAGAACGGAAAACAUGAGUCAGAGGAAGUCUUGGGCUCUCUCCUUUGGCGGGAGGAAUCACGGCUUAGUCAAGAGCUCAGGAGUCAGGUUUGCCCCACCGAGGCUGGGCGAGCAGCCCCCAGGGUGAACUUGGCCCAGAAGCUAUAACGGCUUGCAUACCUCAGCUGGAUUAACUUCUGCAUUGGGAAACACAAGCCUUAAAGCUUUGAAACUCUUUAUGAAAUAUGGCAGUAAAACAGAGAACCACCUAACUAAUCUCCAGCUGCCCUUUUUUACAAGGACGAAACCUUGUCCCUUCUCUUGGGAGGGACAGACAUUUAUUCCUGGUCUUCCUGGGGAUGCUUCCAGCUGUCAUGAUAAUUACCGGAGGUAAAUAUAGAUCAUAAGUGUUUUGACUCCUACCAGGUUUUUCUUUGAAAGUCCUGACCGAGAUGACAAUGUGGAGGAGGGAUGAUGAAUUCUUUUGGAAUUUAACCCUCUGGAGCUUGCUCGCGAGCUCUCUUGGGCGGGCUCGGGCAGCCUACAGCGUCUUGGAUUACUGCUGGAGUUUGCUUUUGUUCUGCUUGUGCGACAGUUAAAAAAAACCCUGCCGAUUAAACUUGAAACUUGAUACGUGUUUUGUACCUGCUGGAAACGUGCAUUAACAACUGAUCCGGGGGUCUGGGGAGAGAGUGUGGAGCCUGAGCUGGAGGAACUCGCAGGCCCUUGGGAAGAUGUGAGGAGAUGGGAAGGGAUGAGCCCGAUCGAGGUGAGGCUGGAGGGCUGUAAACCGUAUCCUAGCAGUCGCUCUUCCCCUCGGCAAACUGCUCUUCCCAAUAGGCCGAUCUGUAUUGGAACAGAAAACAAAUAUUUUUGUCGUUUCGAAAUGCUUCAGCAUGACACUACAUAACACUGGAUGGAAUGCACAUGGAGUUAAUUAUCCGCGGAUUCAAAGAACAUCCGAAUACAUCAGAUGAGGUGCUUUCUGCUGCAGAUUCUGUAAAAGAAAUGAACAUCAGGCGUCAAGUUCUGGCAUUCACUUUGGGGUGGAGAGUGGGGUUUAUUAAUAGCUGAUGUCUAUUUAAGGGCAGGCAAUUCUAAUAGCGUUAGUCCAUCUUCAAGAUCUCUAUUUUGGAUAAAAUUCUGCAGCUUUAUGACUGGCUUGUCUGUUUAGAUACAUUCACUAUCGCUUUUUGGGGUGGAUUUUAUCCACUAGGGAGCCGGUUAAUGCCCUUGGCAAGGCUGUAAGUGUUGAGUUGAACAGAGCCCUCCAGGAUCCUUGUUCGUUCUGCCGUUUGUAUUAACGUCCUGACUAAUGCUUGAUUCAUGAGUGCUGUUUUGAGGUUGUCUUGUGGUUGUGACAGCCUUGGCCCGACUUCCACUUCUGUCGCAGUCUCAUACCCGGCGUGAGCACAGGGAAGAAAAUUCCCCUGCUCUGGGUAAAGCUUCCCGGUCUGUAAAAUGGGGAUAAUUGUCUGCUUCAUGCUUCUUUUUUUUUUUUCCCCUGUGUAAGCUGUUUGUCCUGGCUCUUCAGCUGCUUAGGUUAAUUGUUUAAAGCUGCCGCUGUAAGGUGAUUUGGAAUUGGACAGAUUUGGCUGAGCCUGCGCGCGUGUCCCUUGGGCGAGGGCUGCUCUUGCGGGCGAUGCCGGGGGCCGCCGAAAUCCCGUCUCUUGGGCCGUAGCUGUUAGCAGCGCGGAGGACGCUGGCCACCCCCAGCUCGGCGACGUGACCUUCCUCCGCAGAGCGUUAAAAGAGGAAUACCGAGUUUCUCGUUUUGUAGAGCGGCGCAGACUUUGAUCCCCUCGUGCAGCACGAUGGGUUGUGGGAACGGCGUCGUGCGAGACAUGUCACAGCAGAGUAGCUUCCCCGUCAGGUUGCCCUGCAGCUCGGAAAGCGGUAGGUAGCGUUUCUUUUAAACGGCGCGCGUUAGCGAGCUGACGCAGAAGAGGACUGAUGCAUUGAAGCAGUUGCCCAUCGCAGCCCCUCUGUGUUCUCCGGCCUCCCACAACCAAAUAAAAACGAUACGGGGAGACCUUUCUCCUAGGAC